RNAcentral lists this ribosomal RNA (462 nucleotides) under uncultured bacterium. Its description in RNAcentral is "partial 16S ribosomal RNA". It matches the Rfam family "Bacterial small subunit ribosomal RNA", at positions 28 to 507 of the family's 1533-position model. The record is from RNAcentral.
GAUGAACGCUGACAGAAUGCUUAACACAUGCAAGUCAUUGGCGAAGCUGCGCUUGCGCAGUCUAGCCAAGGCGGACGGGUGAGUAACGCGUAAGGAACUUGCCCUGCAGACAGGGAUAACAGACGGAAACGACUGAUAACACCUGGUAUUGUCAGGCUGGCGCAUGCCGGCCUGAUGAAAGGAGACGCUGCAGGAGAGCCUUGCGUCCUAUUAGCUAGUUGGUGGGGUAACGGCCCACCAAGGCGAUGAUAGGUAGCCGGCCUGAGAGGGUGAACGGCCACAAGGGGACUGAGAUACGGCCCUUACUCCUACGGGAGGCAGCAGUGGGGAAUAUUGGACAAUGGGGGCAACCCUGAUCCAGCAAUUCUGUGUGCACGAAGAGGGUUUUCGGAUUGUAAAGUGCUUUCAGCAGGGAAGAAGAAAGUGACGGUACCUGCAGAAGAAGCGACGGCUAAAUACGUG